UAGGGAAUCUUCCACAAUGGACGCAAGUCUGAUGGAGCAACGCCGCGUGAGUGAAGAAGGGUUUCGGCUCGUAAAGCUCUGUUGUUAAAGAAGAACGUGGGUAAGAGUAACUGUUCAGGUAUUGACGGUAUUUAACCAGAAAGCCACGGCUAACUACGUGCCAG
RNAcentral lists this ribosomal RNA (164 nucleotides) under uncultured bacterium. RNAcentral's name for it is "partial 16S ribosomal RNA". It matches the Rfam family "Bacterial small subunit ribosomal RNA", at positions 355 to 511 of the family's 1533-position model. The record is from RNAcentral.